GGUGCUGAUCGUUAGCUGAGGCUCCUUCGCGGAUACAAGCCAGCGACCCCGAACGUCGAAAGACGCCCCGGGUCAGGACAGGCCCUCCCGGCUUAAGGGGUGGCCCCGAUUGGCUCCCGUUGACGGGUUCACGCCGCGAAGUGCCAAAGGUCUUACGAGGAGAGGUGCA
RNAcentral lists this small RNA (169 nucleotides) under Microbacterium ginsengisoli. RNAcentral describes it as "Magnesium sequence". It matches the Rfam family "M-box riboswitch aptamer (ykoK leader)". Rfam says of the family: M-box riboswitch, also know as ykoK leader is described as a metaloregulatory RNA that sense divalent metals and function as a genetic control element of genes related to divalent metal transport in bacteria. It was first reported upstream of the B.subtilis ykoK gene and genes with related functions in other bacteria. Phylogenetic analysis of the distribution of M-box RNAs across bacterial genomes revealed that M-box riboswitches are most often employed for the regulation of Mg2+ transporter genes Lineage: Bacteria; Bacillati; Actinomycetota; Actinomycetes; Micrococcales; Microbacteriaceae. The record is from Rfam by way of RNAcentral.